UUUUUUCAUUGAAAUGAAAAACAUAUCAUGUUAUUAGAACCGGAUCCGGAAGUGCUGAAAACAGCUGCCGUUUUUGCUUCGGUCGGAACGAUGAUAAGCGGAAGAACCGGGACGGAAUGAUGAUGAUGCCGCGCAGCUUGGAUUGCACCUUAUCAAACCAGUGUCCCGAGCUCCUACAUUAAAAUGCUAGUGAUUUAAUGA
This is a long non-coding RNA of Aedes aegypti (yellow fever mosquito), 201 nucleotides long. RefSeq lists it as uncharacterized. The record is from RefSeq and is a predicted model, not a curated record. The transcript is spliced from 2 exons. NCBI's taxonomy places the organism in Eukaryota, Metazoa, Arthropoda, Insecta, Diptera, Culicidae.